Molecule: unclassified non-coding RNA, 250 nt
Filed under: Hevea brasiliensis (rubber tree)
Lineage: Eukaryota; Viridiplantae; Streptophyta; Magnoliopsida; Malpighiales; Euphorbiaceae
Source: RNAcentral
GGGAGCUCGAAUCAUGAUCUUGUAGACACCAUUGACGAGUUUAGUUACUGGCUAUGGCUAUAGAAAUGGAGGCAUCCCUAUCGGGGGACUCAGGUCUCGGCUCAGAAGCAGGUCCUUCCCACUCCCAUCCGCCCGGACCUCACCGUUUUCCUCUUGCCGCUCAGCCGGAGAUUAUGCGAGCAGCAGAAAAGGACGAUCAGUACGCCUCGUUUGUUUAUGAUGCUUGUCGCGACGCUUUCCGCCACCUCUU